AAGUGACGCUGGCCGGCAUGCCUUACACAUGCAGUCGAACGGCAGCAUGAUCUAGCUUGCUAGAUUGAUGGCGAGUGGCGAACGGGUGAGUAAUACAUCGGAACGUGCCCUGUAGUGGGGGAUAACUAGUCGAAAGAUUAGCUAAUACCGCAUACGACCUGAGGGUGAAAGUGGGGGACCGCAAGGCCUCAUGCUAUAGGAGCGGCCGAUGUCUGAUUAGCUAGUUGGUGGGGUAAAGGCCCACCAAGGCGACGAUCAGUAGCUGGUCUGAGAGGACGAUCAGCCACACUGGGACUGAGACACGGCCCAGACUCCUACGGGAGGCAGCAGUGGGGAAUUUUGGACAAUGGGCGAAAGCCUGAUCCAGCAAUGCCGCGUGUGUGAAGAAGGCCUUCGGGUUGUAAAGCACUUUUGUCCGGAAAGAAAUGGCUCUGGUUAAUACCUGGGGUCGAUGACGGUACCGGAAGAAUAAGGACCGGCUAACUACGUGCCAGCAGCCGCGGUAAUACGUAGGGUCCAAGCGUUAAUCGGAAUUACUGGGCGUAAAGCGUGCGCAGGCGGUUGUGCAAGACCGAUGUGAAAUCCCCGAGCUUAACUUGGGAAUUGCAUUGGUGACUGCACGGCUAGAGUGUGUCAGAGGGGGGUAGAAUUCCACGUGUAGCAGUGAAAUGCGUAGAGAUGUGGAGGAAUACCGAUGGCGAAGGCAGCCCCCUGGGAUAACACUGACGCUCAUGCACGAAAGCGUGGAGAGCAAACAGGAUUAGAUACCCUGGUAGUCCACGCCCUAAACGAUGUCAACUAGCUGUUGGGGAUUCAUUUCCUUAGUAACGUAGCUAACGCGUGAAGUUGACCGCCUGGGG
This 860-nucleotide ribosomal RNA is filed under the name uncultured bacterium. Its description in RNAcentral is "bacterial SSU rRNA". It matches the Rfam family "Bacterial small subunit ribosomal RNA", at positions 28 to 878 of the family's 1533-position model. The record is from RNAcentral.